GACGAACGCUGGCGGCGUGCCUAAUACAUGCAAGUAGAACGCAGUUGCGAACGGGUGAGUAACGCGUAGGUAACUGCCUCAUAGCGGGGGAUAACUAUGGGAAACGGUAGCUAAUACCGCAUACUGUGAGAUGGACCUGCGUUGUAUUAGCUUGGUGGUGAGGUAAAGGCUCACCAAGGCGACGAAACAUAGCCGACCUGAGACGGCGAUCGGCCCCACUGGGAGUGGGGACAGGCUCAGAGUCCUACGGGAGGCAGCCAGAGGGAAGCGUGGGCAAUUGGCGGAAGUCCGGACGAGGCACGCCGGGGGAGUGAAUAAGGUUUUCGGGUGGUAAAGCUCUGUUUUUAGGGAAUCGGUACCUAACCAGAAAGGGACGGCUAACUACGUGCCAGCCGCCGCGGUAAUAC
RNAcentral lists this ribosomal RNA (407 nucleotides) under uncultured bacterium. RNAcentral's name for it is "partial 16S ribosomal RNA". It matches the Rfam family "Bacterial small subunit ribosomal RNA", at positions 28 to 526 of the family's 1533-position model. The record is from RNAcentral.